Molecule: long non-coding RNA, 644 nt
Organism: Lycium ferocissimum
Lineage: Eukaryota; Viridiplantae; Streptophyta; Magnoliopsida; Solanales; Solanaceae
Exons: 2
Source: RefSeq, a predicted model, not a curated record
GGCGCCAAUAAAUACCAAAAAAUUAAAAUAUUUAAUUGCAUAUGUAAAUAAUCAAAAUCUCACUAGCAAUAACAUAUUAGCAAAUAUUUCAAUUCCAAAAAUUAAAAUUAGAUUGUAGAUACUAAAAGUCUAGAACUUGAAUGAGUCAAUGACUCAAUAAUUCAUAAGUGACAAGACAAGCAACACUAAAAUUUAAGCAAUAGUGCAAUACUAAAAGUCCAUUGAAUUUGAACCUACUGUUUAUAACUGUAUAACAAAAUUUAAACAAUUAUUGAACAGAAAAAAUAGGAGCAAAACAACCACUGCCUCACUGGUCCAAACAGAGAAAAAAAAACAGAGGAAAAAACAGAGGAGAAAAAAACAGAGCAAACAACAGAGGAGAAAAAAACAGAGAAAAAACAGAAAAAGAAGAAGAGAAUAGAAGAAGGGAAAAAAAAAAACAGAGGUGGCCGGAAAUAGGGCAGUUGUCGAAAAUAAGAAAGAAGAAGAAAGAAGAAGAACUGAAGAAAAAGAAGAAGGAGAAAGAGACGUACCUGAAACCUUGAAGGAGAAGAGAGAGGAGGCAAACAAAAAACCCUAGCUGCUAUUUUUAUUUAAGUCCUCCACUUCAUUUAAGUCCUCCACUUCUUUUAAUUGUUUUUUUU